Salvelinus sp. IW2-2015 is the source of this 700-nucleotide non-coding RNA. NCBI's taxonomy places the organism in Eukaryota, Metazoa, Chordata, Actinopteri, Salmoniformes, Salmonidae. The record is from RefSeq and is a predicted model, not a curated record.
GGGCGCUCUGCGUUUCCUGUACCGCUUCAUUUUAACUGAUCAUCAAAUUACAAUGUAAAUCCUAAUCGGAACAUUAUUUUCAAACGCAGAACAUAUSAUUCAUGUCAUAUCCAUCACCUGGAAUACCGGGCGGAAAUUAAUCAACGAAUACAUGGUUUGCGGUCUAAAUAUCAGGCGCUGUCACAUUGACAGCGGUAGGAUAUCCGGAAGACUUGAGGCAGGUUUGCACGAGCCAUUGCGGUGUUGACGUAAGAGCUAAAGCCUUUUCAACCGAUGUCUAAGGACCCUCCUCCAAGGUGACAUACAUCCAAUCACAGACUAGCAUGGGAGAAGAUGGACAAUCCAGCUGCCAAUCAGAGCUACGGAGAUGGCGGGCAGCCCGGGGUGUGUCAUAAUGGCUGGUCAGCAACCACACCCCCGACCGGUCUUGGAUGUUCCGCUGCCCAAGGACUCUCCAGUGACCCUCUACCCAGCUUACAGGGUCUGAACCUGGGCCCAGCCUCACACCAGAACCCCUCUAAUAACAUCCCUCAGUCCAUGGUUCAGUUACAGUACUCACACCUGGGCGGUGUCAGCAGUCUUCCUACGCCCCCAUUUAGGAACCAAUCACCUUCAGCUCUUAUACCAUGUCUGAAUGAAGAGCCUCACAUACCACAUGUACACCUGGGUCCUUAUAUCUCCUACAACAUCCCUCCACCAU